RNAcentral lists this ribosomal RNA (742 nucleotides) under Rhodococcus sp. VPMK17. Its description in RNAcentral is "bacterial SSU rRNA". It matches the Rfam family "Bacterial small subunit ribosomal RNA", at positions 116 to 871 of the family's 1533-position model. Lineage: Bacteria; Bacillati; Actinomycetota; Actinomycetes; Mycobacteriales; Nocardiaceae. The record is from RNAcentral.
CGUGGGUGAUCUGCCCUGCACUUCGGGAUAAGCCUGGGAAACUGGGUCUAAUACCGGAUAUGACCUCAGGUUGCAUGACUUGGGGUGGAAAGAUUUAUCGGUGCAGGAUGGGCCCGCGGCCUAUCAGCUUGUUGGUGGGGUAAUGGCCUACCAAGGCGACGACGGGUAGCCGACCUGAGAGGGUGACCGGCCACACUGGGACUGAGACACGGCCCAGACUCCUACGGGAGGCAGCAGUGGGGAAUAUUGCACAAUGGGCGAAAGCCUGAUGCAGCGACGCCGCGUGAGGGAUGACGGCCUUCGGGUUGUAAACCUCUUUCAGCAGGGACGAAGCGCAAGUGACGGUACCUGCAGAAGAAGCACCGGCUAACUACGUGCCAGCAGCCGCGGUAAUACGUAGGGUGCAAGCGUUGUCCGGAAUUACUGGGCGUAAAGAGUUCGUAGGCGGUUUGUCGCGUCGUUUGUGAAAACCAGCAGCUCAACUGCUGGCUUGCAGGCGAUACGGGCAGACUUGAGUACUGCAGGGGAGACUGGAAUUCCUGGUGUAGCGGUGAAAUGCGCAGAUAUCAGGAGGAACACCGGUGGCGAAGGCGGGUCUCUGGGCAGUAACUGACGCUGAGGAACGAAAGCGUGGGUAGCGAACAGGAUUAGAUACCCUGGUAGUCCACGCCGUAAACGGUGGGCGCUAGGUGUGGGUUCCUUCCACGGAAUCCGUGCCGUAGCUAACGCAUUAAGCGCCCCG